Molecule: long non-coding RNA, 559 nt
Filed under: Triticum aestivum (bread wheat)
Lineage: Eukaryota; Viridiplantae; Streptophyta; Magnoliopsida; Poales; Poaceae
Description: long non-coding RNA (TAES_LNC016654)
Source: RNAcentral
AUUUGGGACAUAGUUGGAAAAGAAAAGAUGCCUCUGUCACUUCGAAGUCUUCGGAAUCACUGGAAUGCGUGCUCUGCUUUUUCUCCACUUCUUUGUCGGCUGUUCCAUUUGAUUCUCUCAGCGUGUCCCCUAGAGUGUCUGCCCCUUCGGUGCCAAAUGUUUGUGCUAAUUCCUCAUCCAGAGCUGACUGCAUUUGUUCAAGGUUAAUUCCUGAGAGCAAGGUUACAAAGAAAAAUCAGUAUGCAGGGUUUAAUAUAAUUAGAAUUUGAACUAUUUGGGACAUAUAGUUGGAAAAGAAAAUAUGCCUCUGUCACCUCAGAAUCUGUGGACCGUGUGCUCUUCUUUUUCUCCACUUCAUCUUUGUCGGCUAUUCCAUUUAAUUCUGCAAGCUUGUCCCCUACAGUUUCUGCCCCUUCGGUGUCAAAUGUUUGUGCUAAUUCAUUGUCUUGAGUUGGCUGCAUUUCUUCACUUGUUUCCUUGACGGUUAAUCCCUGAGAGCAACAUUACAAGGAAUAAUCCCUAUGUAGUAUUAUAAUAUAACGAGAAUUAGAACUAUUUG